ACUGCUCCAGGCUCUCUGGCACA
Molecule: microRNA, 23 nt
Filed under: Cordylochernes scorpioides
Lineage: Eukaryota; Metazoa; Arthropoda; Arachnida; Pseudoscorpiones; Chernetidae
Source: RNAcentral